CAGAGACCCAGAUCAGACUUCUUCCAUGGCUGCGCUUGCUGGUCUCCACACAAUGAGAAAUAGAUACUUAAGGUUGCUGCCAUGAUUUGGUUCUUCAUCUGAGGUGAUCUUCACUGGCCCCUUGGAGAGUUGUGAUG
RNAcentral lists this long non-coding RNA (137 nucleotides) under Sus scrofa (pig). Its description in RNAcentral is "lncRNA (ENSSSCG00050029982.1)". The record is from RNAcentral. Lineage: Eukaryota; Metazoa; Chordata; Mammalia; Artiodactyla; Suidae.